GAGUUUGAACCUGGCUCAGGAUGAACGCUGGCGGCGUGCUUAAUACAUGCAAGUCGAACGAAGCACCUCUCCCGUUGAUUGACCUAGCUUGCUAGAGAUUGAAACAAUUGAGGUGACUGAGUGGCGGACGGGUGAGUAACGCGUGGGUAACCUGCCUUGUACAGGGGGAUAACAGUUGGAAACGACUGCUAAUACCGCAUAAGCGCACAGUAUCGCAUGAUACAGUGUGAAAAACUCCGGUGGUACAAGAUGGACCCGCGUCUGAUUAGCUAGUUGGAGGGGUAACGGCCCACCAAGGCAACGAUCAGUAGCCGACUUGAGGGAGUGAUCGGCCACAUUGGGACUGAGACACGGCCCAAACUCCUACGGGAGGCAGCAGUAGGGAAUAUUGCACAAUGGGGGAAACCCUGAUGCAGCGACGCCGCGUGAAGGAUGAAGUAUUUCGGUAUGUAAACUUCUAUCAGCAAGGAAGAAAAUGACGGUACUUGACUAAGAAGCCCCGGCUAAAUACGUGCCAGCAGCCGCGGUAAUACGUAUGGGGCAAGCGUUAUCCGGAUUUACUGGGUGUAAAGGGAGCGUAGGCGGUACGGCAAGUCAGAAGUGAAAGCCUGGGGCUCAACCCCGGAAUUGCUUUUGAAACUGUCGAACUAGAGUGUCGGAGGGGUAAGCGGAAUUCCUAGUGUAGCGGUGAAAUGCGUAGAUAUUAGGAGGAACACCGGUGGCGAAGGCGGCUU
RNAcentral lists this ribosomal RNA (734 nucleotides) under uncultured bacterium. RNAcentral describes it as "bacterial SSU rRNA". It matches the Rfam family "Bacterial small subunit ribosomal RNA", at positions 9 to 727 of the family's 1533-position model. The record is from RNAcentral.